Molecule: RNA transcript, 1700 nt
Organism: Nycticebus coucang (slow loris)
Lineage: Eukaryota; Metazoa; Chordata; Mammalia; Primates; Lorisidae
Gene name: mortality factor 4-like protein 1
Exons: 1
Source: RefSeq, a predicted model, not a curated record
GGGUGGGGUAGAGAGUAGGGGGCGGUAGUCGGGGGUGGUGGGAGAAGGAGGAGGCGGCUAAUCACUUAUAAAUGGCGCCGAAGCAGGACCCGAAGCCUAAAUUCCAGGAGGGUGAGUGAGUACUGUGCUUUCAUGGGCCUCUUCUUUAUGAAGCAAAGUGUUUAAAGGUUGCCAUAAAGGACAAACAAGUGAAAUACUUUAUACAUUACAGUGGUUGGAAUAAAAAUUGGGAUGAAUGGGUUCCAGAGAGCAGAGUCCUCAAAUAUGUGGACACCAAUCUGCAGAAACAGCGAGAACUUCAAAAAGCCAAUCAGGAGCAGUAUGCAGAGAGGAAGAUGAGAGGGGCUACUCCAGGAAAGAAGACAUCUGGUCUGCAACAGAAAAAUGUUGAAGUGAAAACAAAGAAGAAUAAGCAGAAAACACCUGGAAAUGGAGACGGUGGCAGUACCAGUGAGACACCUCAACCUCCUCGGAAGAAAAGGGCCUGGGUAGAUCCUACUGUUGAAAAUGAAGAAACAUUCAUGAACAGAGUUGAAGUUAAAGUAAAGAUUCCUGAAGAGCUAAAACCUUGGCUUGUUGAUGACGGGGACUUAAUUACCAGGCAAAAACAGCUCUUUUAUCUUCCUGCUAAGAAGAAGUGGAUUCCAUUCUGGAGGAUUAUGCAAAUUACAAGAAAUCUCGUGGAAACACAGAUAAUAAGGAGUAUGCUGUUAAUGAAGUUGUGGCAGGGAUAAAAGAAUACUUCAAUGUAAUGUUGGGCACUCAGCUCCUGUACAAAUUUGAGCGGCCACAGUAUGCUGAAAUUCUUGCAGAUCACCCUGAUGCACCCAUGUUCCAAGUAUAUGGAGCACCACAUCUACUGAGAUUAUUUGUACGAAUUGGAGCGAUGUUGGCCUAUACACCUUUGGAUGAAAAAAGCCUUGCCUUAUUACUGAACUAUCUUCAUGAUUUCCUAAAGUAUCUGGCAAAGAAUUCUGCAACCUUGUUUAGUGCCAGUGAUUAUGAAGUGGCUCCUCCUGAGUACCAUCGGAAAACUGUGUGAAAGAUGGUCUCACUCGUAUAUGUUUGGAUCUCUGUAAACACAUUUUUGUUCUUAGUCUUUCUCUUUACAAACGAUGUACUUUGAAGAUGUUAGUGUAUAACAGAAUUGAUGUUUGUUUUUUGUUUGAUUUUAAACAGAGAAAAUAAAAGGGGUUAUAGCUCCUUUUUUCUUUUCUUUCAUUUCAAAGUUGCUACCAGUGUAUUCAGUGAUGGAUAACAGAAAGACAAGCUGUAGAGUGUUUUAUUGCCUAGUUGACAAAGCUGCUUUUGAAUACUGGUGGUUCUAUUCCUUUGACACUACGCACUUUUGUAAUAUGUGUUAAUGCUAUAGGACAAAAUGCUCUGAUUCCUAUUGCCAAAGGUUCAAUUCAGUGUGUAUAACUGCACACACUCAUCCAUUUGUGCUUUUUUUUUUUUUAUGGUGCUUAAAGUAAAGAGCUCAUCCUUUGCAAGUCAUCCAUGUUGUUCCUUAGGCAUUUUAUCUUUGCUCAAAUUGUUGAAGAAUGGUGGCUUGUUUCAUGGUUUUUGUAUUUGUGUCUAAUGCACAUUUUAACAUGAUAGACACAAUGCAUUGUGUGGCUAGUUUUCUGGAAAAGUCAAUCUUUUAAGAAUUGUUUUUCAGAUCUUCAAUAAAUUUUUUCUUUAAAUUUCAAAAAAAA